GGUGAAUGCCUUGGUACUAGGAGCCGAUGAAGGACGGGACUAACACCGAUAUGCUUCGGGGAGCGGUAAGUACGCUUUGAUCCGGAGAUUUCCGAAUGGGGAAACCCAGCAUGAGUCAUGUCAUGUUGCCACUUGCUGAACACAUAGGCAAGCGAGCGGGAACCAUCUGAACUGAAACAUCUUAGUAGGAUGAGGAAGAGAAAGUAAAUAACGAUUGCGAAAGUAGUGGCGAGCGAAAUCGCAACAGCCCAAACCUUUUAAGUUUUUGCCUAUUAAUUUAGGCAAAUAAGUUGAUAGACGAAUACUUAUAAGGGGUUGUGAUAUUACAUAUGACCAAGUCAGAGAAUUUGAUUCAUUCAAAUAAUCUGAUUUGCGAUAACUGGCUAUCAACAGUUAGUAAGGUAAGAAAUCGGCGUGGUUAGUAGAAUAGUUUGAAUGACUAGCCAAAGAGCGUGAAAGCCGUGUAUGCGAAAACGACGCUGACCUUAUAUGUGUUUUAUCGAGUAGGACGGGGCACGAGAAACCCUGUUUGAAUCUGGCUGGACCACCAGCCAAGGCUAAAUAUAAUAUACGAUCGAUAGUGAACUAGUACAGUGAUGGAAAGGUGAAAAGAACCCCGGGAGGGGAGUGAAAUAGAUCCUGAAAUUUAGUGCCUACAAGGAGUCGGAGCCGGCUUGUCCGGUGACGGCGUGCUUUUUGUAGAACGAUCCAGCGAGUUAAUUUUUACAGCGAGGUUAAGUCAAUUGACGGAGCCACAGUGAAAGCGAGCCUGAAUAGGGCGAUUAAGUUGUAAGGAUUAGACCCGAAACCGGGUGACCUAACCAUGAGCAGGUUGAAGCCACUGUAACAGGUGGUGGAGGACCGAACCAGGAUACGCAGCAAAGUGUUUGGAUGACUUGUGGUUAGCGGUGAAAUGCCAAUCGAACUCGGAGAUAGCUGGUUCUCCUCGAAAUAGCUUUAGGGCUAGCGUCGUGUUAGUAGCACAUGGGGGUAGAGCUCUGUAAAGGACUGGGGCGGGCAACUGUACCCACCCUUAACAAACUACGAAUACCAUGUGUGUAAUCACGGCAGUUAGAACAUCGGUGCUAAGAUCGGUGCUCAAAAGGGAAACAGCCCAGACCAUCAUCUAAGGUCCCUAAAUUAACGUUCAGUGGGAAACAAGGUGAGAUUUCUUAAACAGCUAGGAUGUUGGCUUAGAAGCAGCCAUUCAUUUAAAGAGUGCGUAACAGCUCACUAGUCAAGAGAUCUUGCGUGGAAAAUGUAACGGGGCUAAAACGUUAUACCGAAGAUAUGGAUGUCAGAUUUAUCUGGCGUGGUAGAGGAGCGUUCCUAUCAGCAGUGAAGUCGAAUCGGAAGGUUCGGUGGAGCGGUAGGAAGUGAGAAUGCUGGAAUGAGUAACCAUAAGAGAGGUGAGAAUCCUCUCGGCCGUAAGAGCAAGGUUUCCUGAGCCAUGGUAAUCAUCUCAGGGUUAGUCGGGCCUAAGCCGAGGCGCAGAGCGUAGGCGAUGGACAUCAGGUUAAUAUUCCUGAACCGGUUAAGUUUUGUACACUGUUCACGGGGAAGUAAUCGAAGCGGAUUCAUGGUUUAUCCGUCCAACCGAGCGGGAACGCAAAGGGAGUGAAAGUGAUUCUUCGGAGUCGCGAUUUUGGUGAAAGCCCUGGCUAGAAAAGCAGGUGUACGCGUGGACUUAGCCGCCCGUACCGCAAACCAACACAGGUGCUCGAGUCGAGUAGACUCAGGCUUACGAGCGAACCUUCGCUAAGGAACUCGGCAAUACAGCGACCGUAACUUCGGGAUAAGGUCUGCCCCCACUUCGGUGGAUAUCAGCCGCGUUCACUCAGUGAAUAUUAGGUUAAAGAGUACAUUUUUAAUCACAAAACGAAUUUUCUGAGAUAGAGCAAACGAAUUGUUCUUUUGAACGCGAACCUCUGACAUCUAACGAUGUGGGGGCCGCAGCAAAAGAGCCCACGGAACUGUUUAUCAAAAACACAGGUCUCUGCUAACACGAAAGUGGAUGUAUAGGGGCUGACUCCUGCCCAAUGCUGGAAGGUUAAGGGGAGCGCUUCACGGUGCGAACUGAAGCCCUAGUCAAUGGCGGCGGUAACUAUAACCGUCCUAAGGUAGCGAAAUUCCUUGUCAGGUAAGUUCUGACCCGCACGAAUGGAGUAAUCAUGUGGGCACUGUCUCAGCGAAGGACUCGGUGAAAGUGCAUUGGCGGUAAAGAUGCCGUCUGUCCGUACCAGGACGAAAAGACCCCAUGGAGCUUUACUACAGCUUUACAUUGAAUAUGGUUUCAACAUGUGUAGCAUAGGUGGGAGACUUUGAAGCAGAUACGCCAGUAUUUGUGGAGUCACCAAGUGAAAUACCACCCUUGUUGUGAUUGUGUUCUCACGCUGACCGUUAUCCGGUUAGCGGACCGUGUAUGGUGGGUAGUUUAACUGGGGCGGUUGCCUCCUAAAGAGUAGCGGAGGCGUUCAAAGGUUGGCUAACUUCGGAUGGAAAUCGAAGUGAUAGUGUAUGCGCAUAAGCCAGCUUGACUGUGAGGAGUACAUUCCAAUCAGAGACGAAAGUCGGAGCAAGUGAUCCGCUGUACGUACAUUUGUACAUGAACGUGGGAUUGACAGCGCAAACGGAUAAAAGU
Molecule: ribosomal RNA, 2641 nt
Filed under: human gut metagenome
Description: bacterial LSU rRNA
Rfam family: Bacterial large subunit ribosomal RNA
Source: RNAcentral